CACAGCGUCCGGGAGUGCCAGCCCGGGAGUGCCCCCCACCUCCCCGGGAGUGCCAGCCCGGGAGUGCCCCACACCGCUCGGGAGUGCCAGCCCGGGAGUGCCCGCCCGCCGACCCCUGUCCGGGAAUGCCCGCCCGCCGGCCCCAGCCCGACCCCCGCCUGUGCCUCCUGCAGACCGCUGCUCAGCAGCCUUGUAAAUGCAAGGGCGCUGCUGCUCCGGUAACCACGAGCUGCCUAGGAGUGUGACUGCCCGUGCUGAGGGAACCAUAGCGCUCCGGAGCUGUCUGGAGAAUUUUCUCCUGAGACUAUAGAAGAGUACUGGGUGGUGUAACAAAUGAUUAAAAGGAUGACAGGUUGCAUACAAAGCUGUUGCAGAACACCAGAAUACCUGAAUGUGCUACAUGCCCAGAUUAUGUCAUGAAGGAGGAUCUGGAGCUGGCAUAUUUUCUCACUCAAAAAGAAUCUAAUAAUUUAAAAAAAUAAAUUCUAUCAAAGACUGUGAUAUCUCUGCAAUAAAACUAAGAAGAUGUUAUGAAGUUUAAAUUUCUUGCACUGUGUUAGCCUUGUGACCCACUUUGGGUAUGCUUAUAGCAAAGCUUUUGUUAAGAUCAGGCAAGUACCCUCAACACAAGAAUUUGUGUCCUGUGGUUUGCACUGUCAAGUGUUUGUUCUUAAAGUGCCCAAAAUUAAUACUUCUCAGAUGAAUUUGAUACAAAUUUUUUAUCAAAUGGAGUCGAGCAGGCACUUCAAAAGUGCACAUACAGCAGUUCGGCUUGUAAUUAACUUAAGUCCCUGAUUCUCUGAGACAUGUAAGCCACCUUAGAUUUAUUUUUUGCUGGUCUUUUCUUCACUGCUGUUCCCAUGGGACAUGGCUGUUCUUGCCUGAACAGUGCACAAGAAUAGUUCAACAUGAGCUGGAGCAGAAAAGACUCUGAGAUAAAGGUUGCACUAAUGAAAAACUGGAGCAAGAAGUUUAUAAAUGAGAAUCUUGAAAUAUCUCCUUACAAAUACAGUUUACCAGACUUGCUUUAAAAAACAGAGAAUUCAGUGAGUUUUGAUAUUUAAAUAUCAGGCUAGCAUCACUCUGAGUAAUUUUCUUGACCUAGCAAUGAUUCCAGGAAUUAACUUAGUGUCAAUUUCAGAUAUUCCUCACCCGCUCUUGUGGUGUACAACCGACCUCUUCGUAUGUCGCGCCUUUAACAAUUAUGGUGGUUCAGAUGAUCCUCAUCUGUAGGCUAAGGGUAAUACUUCUCAGACUGAAAGUUUUGUAAGGCUAUGGUCAUUGACAUUUGUGACACACAUAGCAACUGUGCAGGCAUAGCUUUUGAAAAACCUAUAAAUAGAAUAACCCAUUAUAUUUUUGGCGAGGAGGUUUGUUGCUUUUUUAAAAAUCUAAAAUUUAGCAAUAUUUGGUAGACUUCCUAUUUAGGUGCCAUAGAAUUUCAAAGACAAAUUACAGUAAUUUUACGACUAUAAGGCGCACCUUAAUGACUAAAAUUUUGAUCGA
Molecule: long non-coding RNA, 1506 nt
Organism: Catharus ustulatus (Swainson's thrush)
Lineage: Eukaryota; Metazoa; Chordata; Aves; Passeriformes; Turdidae
Exons: 3
Source: RefSeq, a predicted model, not a curated record